This 297-nucleotide ribosomal RNA is filed under the name Triticum aestivum (bread wheat). Its description in RNAcentral is "partial small subunit ribosomal RNA". Lineage: Eukaryota; Viridiplantae; Streptophyta; Magnoliopsida; Poales; Poaceae. The record is from RNAcentral.
AUGCAUGGACACUUUGAGAAACUCUAUGAAUACCGGGCUACAUGGGUUCCAUGUUACUUCAAAUUUAGGUUAUUCCCUUUCCUUCAGUCGAUGCAACGCAGCGAAGGGUUCAAUGUUAUCUUGAAGUGCUAUGUGAACCCACACAAGUCAAUUCUCAACUUUGUGAAGCAAUACGAGAAGAUUCAGGUACACAUACUCGUGAGGGAGGGCGGGAACGACUACUGGACAAAGCAUCUAGACGCACAAAGAUGGUCGAGUUUCCCCAUUGAGAGGCAUACACUAGGGACAUCUAUGUGA